AACGUAGGAGGCGAGCGUUAUCCGGAUUUACUGGGCGUAAAGCGUGUGUAGGCGGUUCGGCAAGUUGGAUGUGAAAGCUCCUGGCUUAACUAGGAGAGGUCGUUCAAUACUACCGAACUUGAGGGCAUCAGAGGAGAGUGGAAUUCCCGGUGUAGUGGUGAAAUGCGUAGAUAUCGGGAGGAACACCAGUGGCGAAAGCGGCUCUCUGGGAUGCAUCUGACGCUCAGACACGAAAGCUAGGGUAGCGAACGGG
RNAcentral lists this ribosomal RNA (253 nucleotides) under uncultured bacterium. RNAcentral's name for it is "partial 16S ribosomal RNA". It matches the Rfam family "Bacterial small subunit ribosomal RNA", at positions 524 to 776 of the family's 1533-position model. The record is from RNAcentral.